This 1081-nucleotide small RNA is filed under the name Pan troglodytes (chimpanzee). RNAcentral's name for it is "retained intron". Lineage: Eukaryota; Metazoa; Chordata; Mammalia; Primates; Hominidae. The record is from RNAcentral.
CCGAGACCGCGGCGGAGCGUACGGUCCCUGCAGUGCCUGCUGCUGAGGAGGCCACCGAAGCUCGGGGACGCGAGGAGCCGGCGUGGCCCUGGAAAGACGCCCCGAUCCGGACGCUGGUGCAGCGCAUCCACCAGCUGCAGGCUGAGCGCGCGCAGGGCUUCCGCCGACUGGAGGAGUGAGUGGGGGCGCGGAGGGGCUCAGGGUUCGGUCCCCCGCCCGCUCCGGGCGUGGGCGUGUUCUCGGCGGGCGUGCGUGGAGGAGGAGCUGGGUCCUUGUGCGGCUGCAGAGUCAGAUGGGGCGGGGAUUUCGGGGCACCGGGUCCUCACCUUCACGAGAAAGGCCCCACAGCACGUCCCCACUACCCGACGACUCAAUCCUCGUGGCUUCUCUCUCCCCCGCAAGAGCAGGGGUGGGCCUGUCUCGCGUUCCCCUGCGGGAGUCAGGAAGCGUCCUUCCUACCUACCAGUCCUCCCCUCUGGGGUCUGGGGACACUUCCUGGGGGCCUUUCAGGUGGUUGGCGCCGGUGCAGGGCCUGAGAGCCUGGGGGCGCGGCCUCAGGGUCCCCACCUGCCGCAGAGGCCACCGCCAGUACCUGCGCAGCAGCCCUGACUACGACUUCGCGCGCUACCGGAGCAUAGUGCACGAGGUGACCCAGGCCUUCGCCGCCGCCUCGCGGGAGGUGCUGGCUGUGGAAGCAGAGCUGGGCGGGCCUCGCAGGCAGCCGCUGCUCGCCGGCCACGUGCGCAGCCUGCAGGAGCUGGAGCAGACGCGGCUGGGCACGGUGGCCCUGCUGCAGUUGAUGGAGACGCCAGAGCUGGCGGGGCAGGAGGACGCUGUACGGAUGCAGCAGCUGAAAAUGAAGGUAAUUAAAACCAUGGAGGCGAUCAGCGAGGUUCUCCAGGACCUCAGGUUUGAUGCGGAAUCUGCCGAGUGAUGGCGGCUCCCCAGGGAUGCGCCGAGGGAGAUGGGAAACGGGGCGGAUGGCGCCCAGCCCAGCCCUAACCGCCAGCUGGCUGGGGUCGCGCCCCACUGCGCUGCUGACCUUCCUGCAGUUCCAGACACCGCCCACAAUAAAGAGCUC